GAUGAACGCUGGCGGCGUGCCUAAUACAUGCAAGUCGAGCGAACAGAUGAGGAGCUUGCUCCUCUGACGUUAGCGGCGGACGGGUGAGUAACACGUGGAUAACCUACCUAUAAGACUGGGAUAACUUCGGGAAACCGGAGCUAAUACCGGAUAAUAUAUUGAACCGCAUGGUUCAAUAGUGAAAGACGGUUUUGCUGUCACUUAUAGAUGGAUCCGCGCCGCAUUAGCUAGUUGGUAAGGUAACGGCUUACCAAGGCAACGAUGCGUAGCCGACCUGAGAGGGUGAUCGGCCACACUGGAACUGAGACACGGUCCAGACUCCUACGGGAGGCAGCAGUAGGGAAUCUUCCGCAAUGGGCGAAAGCCUGACGGAGCAACGCCGCGUGAGUGAUGAAGGUCUUCGGAUCGUAAAACUCUGUUAUUAGGGAAGAACAAAUGUGUAAGUAACUAUGAACGUCUUGACGGUACCUAAUCAGAAAGCCACGGCUAACUACGUG
RNAcentral lists this ribosomal RNA (497 nucleotides) under uncultured bacterium. Its description in RNAcentral is "partial 16S ribosomal RNA". It matches the Rfam family "Bacterial small subunit ribosomal RNA", at positions 28 to 507 of the family's 1533-position model. The record is from RNAcentral.